This 641-nucleotide long non-coding RNA is filed under the name Scophthalmus maximus (turbot). Its description in RNAcentral is "lncRNA (ENSSMAG00000026724.1)". The record is from RNAcentral. Lineage: Eukaryota; Metazoa; Chordata; Actinopteri; Pleuronectiformes; Scophthalmidae.
AAACAGUGACGGUAAUACCAGGACAUAGAAAUGAUCAUAUAACUCCUUUCCCGAGCUCAUUACAUUUCUAAAUCACCAUCUGAAAGGUAUGCAUCUCAAUUAUUGCAUCUCAGAUUUUGUUUUACUAACAAGCAAUAAACUAUCAAAGUAAACAUUCCCACUGAAAAGAAACCCCCACCAGUUGGUUUGACCCAACACCAUAAAAACCAGGAAAUUCUGAUUCUCUCUCAAACCAUUGACCUGCAUGGUGGCUCUGAACAAAGGAACAAACAAUUCUUGAGGAACGACGCUGCUUUGGUGUUUGGUUUGAAUUGUCCCCAAAGAUGAAAAGUCUGGGUCAACUCAGACUGACACACACCAAAGACUUUCGAGGAUAUAAGGAUGAGCUUGGAAACCGUCAUCUCCAUCACUUUUCAAAUCUUCUGAAGAGAGAGAGAGAGAGAGAGCGAGCGAAAGACCAAGAACCCUCUAUGGAAAAUGCUGAUUCAGCGUCUGAGUUGUGGGAAAUUGAUGAAUUUGCCCGCCAGCAGCUAGAUCUGGAACAAGCACAGCCGCAGCAGACAUACUCGGUUACAUCCGAGUAUGUUACAUCAAUCUUUUAUCCCCCGACCCGGACGAGAUUCCUGAGGUGUACGGGUUGA